GCUUCUUUAGCUCAGUUAGUAGAGCGCGAGUUGUUUUUAACCCCGAGGUUGCAAGCUCGAGUCUUUCUGAGAGCA
Molecule: non-coding RNA, 75 nt
Organism: Dendrothele bispora CBS 962.96
Lineage: Eukaryota; Fungi; Basidiomycota; Agaricomycetes; Agaricales
Source: the annotation of a GenBank genome assembly